ACGUGAGGAGUGAAAGGUUGAUAAGACCUUCGGGGAUGACAUUCUUUGGAGUUCGGCGCAUGUCUUUAAGUGGGAGAAUUGAUAGGUUGAAGCCCAUGUGAAAGAGGCCUGUAGCAGUAGAAGCUCGGCAGUAGCCAGGCACCGACCCAGGCUCAGCCAACCAUGUGCGGGUGCAUGCAGGAGCAUGCACGGGCCGGCCCAGCAGAGUGCAGUCACGACGUACAGCGGCUUACCACGUUCUCACGAUCCACG
Molecule: long non-coding RNA, 252 nt
Filed under: Elaeis guineensis (African oil palm)
Lineage: Eukaryota; Viridiplantae; Streptophyta; Magnoliopsida; Arecales; Arecaceae
Description: long non-coding RNA (EGUI_LNC016894)
Source: RNAcentral